UGGAUUCCUUCACAUUGUGGAGAGAGCAUAUGACAUGCUGGGCAGAUCCCAGGGAGGAAGCCGGAGCAGCCUAUCUUGCUGAACACCCUCUUCCCUCCCUGAACCCAGGCCCUCUGAUCAGCUAGGAGCAGCUAUUCUAGCUCUGCAGGAUGCAGAGGCUAGUUUUCCACUGAUAAGACCUGUAUCCGUCAAGCAGGAAAAGAAGUUUCUGCCUAAAAGGUUAUCUAUCUCUGAGAGUUACCAACUUCUAACAGCCAGUGCAAAUUGCUGCUGGCUGUUGAAUUGCAACCGAGUCUGUAUAAUAAAGAGGCUGUUCUCGGUUCCCCAGGACUCCCGGAAUUUGCAUGAAAACAGUCUCUCCAUCUUCUGAAAGGUUCAUCUGGCCCUGCUGCUUACUUCUUUCCAGAAGCCACAAUCUUGAUGGUGACACUGUAAUUUAUGACAGAGCUAAGGAUUAUAACGCAACACACAGAGAACAAGGAGGACUUUGGGGGCGGGGGAGGCCGGCUCCAGGUGCAGGUGAGCUUCAAGAGGGGGGUGGUCUCGUUUGUCAUGCAAAUGGCACAGGAGGCUGAGGAAAGGACUGGGAGGAAAGAUGACCCUGGAAAAGAGCACAGGGCUGGCUGCAGAAGAAACUUGUUUCUAAACAGAAUGUUUUUCAAAGCUUUUCUUGAAGCAUUAGCUAUUCCUCCAAAAUAAAUGACACAACGUAUUUCGUACUAGUAAUAAAAUAUGUGAUUUGAAUAACUACAAAUGGAAAGAUUUACAGUCGGUGGGCUCGGGGGGCUCCUCUCCCCUGAGCUUUGUGUGUGCUGAAACCCUUCAGUGAGACGCUGGGAGAGGUAAUUGCAGCCCAAACAUCAUUUUCCAGCCGCUCGAGAGAAAGGCCUAUUUGGACAUAAAUUAACUAAAAAUAUGCGGAUGAUAGUGUGUAUUUCAUGUGCGAAGAACAGAAAGGCCACUUGGUGACGUUUUUCCAACUGAAAAAAAAAAUCCUAUUCUUCAAACAGACGUCGUUUCUCUGUCCUG
Molecule: non-coding RNA, 1029 nt
Organism: Ictidomys tridecemlineatus (thirteen-lined ground squirrel)
Lineage: Eukaryota; Metazoa; Chordata; Mammalia; Rodentia; Sciuridae
Source: RefSeq, a predicted model, not a curated record